RNAcentral lists this ribosomal RNA (207 nucleotides) under uncultured bacterium. RNAcentral describes it as "partial 16S ribosomal RNA". It matches the Rfam family "Bacterial small subunit ribosomal RNA", at positions 568 to 774 of the family's 1533-position model. The record is from RNAcentral.
AGCGUAGACGGUAAAGCAAGUCUGGAGUGAAAACCCGGGGCUUAACCCCGGGAUUGCUUUGGAAACUGUUGAACUGGAGUGCAGGAGAGGUAAGCGGAAUUCCUAGUGUAGCGGUGAAAUGCGUAGAUAUUAGGAGGAACACCAGUGGCGAAGGCGGCUUACUGGACUGUAACUGACGUUGAGGCUCGAAAGCGUGGGGAGCAAACA